UACGAAGGGGGCUAGCGUUGUUCGGAUUUACUGGGCGUAAAGCGCACGUAGGCGGGCCGUUAAGUCAGGGGUGAAAUCCCGGAGCUCAACUCCGGAACUGCCCUUGAUACUGGCGGUCUUGAGGCCGGAAGAGGUGAGUGGAAUUCCCAGUGUAGAGGUGAAAUUCGUAGAUAUUGGGAAGAACACCAGUGGCGAAGGCGGCUCACUGGUCCGGUACUGACGCUGAGGUGCGAAAGCGUGGGGAUCAAACAGG
RNAcentral lists this ribosomal RNA (253 nucleotides) under uncultured bacterium. RNAcentral describes it as "partial 16S ribosomal RNA". It matches the Rfam family "Bacterial small subunit ribosomal RNA", at positions 524 to 776 of the family's 1533-position model. The record is from RNAcentral.